This is a long non-coding RNA of Oryzias melastigma (Indian medaka), 2317 nucleotides long. RefSeq lists it as uncharacterized. Lineage: Eukaryota; Metazoa; Chordata; Actinopteri; Beloniformes; Adrianichthyidae. The record is from RefSeq and is a predicted model, not a curated record. The transcript is spliced from 5 exons.
AUGGAGACUGGGAUGAUUUUUUCUACAACAACAAGCACCGGGAUUGUUUAAAAUUGCGGAAAACUCAGCAAUUCACUGUGAAAGUAAUUAAUCACAAACCAGGAAAAAAAAUUAUGUGUCUUUUUUUUCAGAGUCUGUCUGUGGUCUGACUCUCACCUGACGUCCUGGUGGCGGCGCUGCCGUUGCUGUGCGGUCUCUCCAGCUCUUCUCCGUCAUUUAUACUGGUGGCAGCUUUUUCCGCGUCCGAUUCCCGGCGCGCCAUCCCCGACUUCGGAUCCCGGACUGCGUCCACAGACACGUAGGUGCAGGCCAGACCCACCUCCUGCUCCAGCGCCGUGCGCGUCAGACCCGAGCCAGGUUUACCCAUAGGGGACGUAACAGGUCAUGUGACUCUGGCCUGGUUCUCACCCUGAGGCGACUGAUGAAGUUCCUGGACAGGCUCAGCUCAGACGCAGGACUGCCCAGCAGCACGGCGAAGCAGAACUGAAGUCCCAGCUUGUCCCUCACGUCCUCCAGCCGCUCUCGGGCCAGCAUGGCGAGCUGCAGCGAGGGGACGCGGACCAGCAGCAUGUGGCCGCGACCCUGGGAGCCCUCUUUACUAGGAGUGUUGAUCAGGUCCUCCACCAUGGCCAGCGUCUCUGGGGUGAUGUGGUCUCUGAGGGACGGGGAGGAGGUGAGCGCCAUCAUGGCCUCGGUGUACUGCUGGAUCAGCAGGAAGCUGCGGAUCACCAUGCUGUGCAGCAGAGUGAGGACCAUCUUCUCAAAGGCCUCAUCGCAGCGCAGGAUGGGGCUGGCCACGCCCCACUGCAGGGAGCUGCUGUAGUCCCUCAGGCCGAAGUACACCAACUCAUUAGCAGACUGCUCCCUCUGCUGGAAGGGAUCGACCACACGAAGCUGUCACUAUAAUACAUUUAUGUUCAUUUUAAAGACAAAUUAUCUUUUGUUCUGUUUUAAAAAUGUUUUUUUAUAGGACAAAGUUUGGAUGAGACUGUUGGACUCCUUCCCCUAACUUCCACUUCCUGGUCAUAUAUGGACGUAUGGUUCAGGACGACCCCGCUUCGCUUCCGACGUUUUGGGUGUCCCCAACUUGGGACGCGGUACCAGACAUGGAACAGAGAAAUACUCACCAGACUUUCCGCGGAAGGCCAGUGAAUCUCAUUGGAGACGCUGAUGCGGGACUGCCGCGUCUGCAGGGUGUAAGGGAAGCAGCUAACCUGAAGGACCAGCAGGUUCAAGGCCUCCAGGACCUCCUGGCAGUUCACCACUCGAUCAGCCAGACCCUGUAGCUCUCCGUGGCACACGGAGCCCGACAGCGCACUGAGAAGAGGCCGAGAUUGUGUCAGAGACUGCAGCAGACGCCACAUUUACCCAGAGCUCAGCUCUGUGUUCACUGUGUGGGAGUCGUUCCCAGGACGAAGCGGGAAAACAGGAAGUGAUCUGGGUUUUAUUUUUGGAACUGAAACGUCGUGGAAAUUUCUUCAGUUCUGAGCACCUGCAUGAAGAGAAAAUCUGUUGUGGCUCGGAGCGAAUCUGCCCCAAAAACAAAGAAGUUCGGCUCAGGAUGACGCGUUUGUUUUGACUCUCCUGCAGCUGUUCUCCUUUUUUAUCCUCACGAGGACAAAGCAGCUUUUUUAACCCAACGAGCACUAAUAAUAAUGUCAGAGUAAAUCACGUUUAUUGUUAAGAGUCAUCGUCACCUUGUGAGGUCAACGUGCGCGUUGUCAUGAAUCAGAACAAACAGGGUGUAGGGGUUCUGCUUGACUUUCUUCAUGAAGGCCUCCAUCCUGGCGUGGACGUCAGAGUCCAGGCGCACCACGUACUUGUCCGAUUUCUGGCUCGCCGUGGAAACGUCCUCGUUCCCUAAAUCCACGAGGACUCCUGAGGCGAAAGAAGGAAGGCGGGUGAGCGUGGGGCGACGGCGGAGCGGAAGAGCGUCAGCCGAGCGCUACCUGAUUGUCGGAUUCGCUGUGCGGUUUGGUGGACCAGGAUGUGAGACGGCGGCACCAAAACCAGGAAGUCCACCUUAGAGAAACGCCCCAGGUCCAGGUUCUGGGAGCCAGAAUCAGCGAUGGAGCAGACCUGGGAGAGGAGACUUCGAGCCACGCUCAGCUGGGCCGGAUAGAUCUGGAAGAUCUUCUGUAGAGGUUCUACUGCAGAACCGGAGGAACGGACGUUAGCUUUCAUUCAGGACAAAACGAUUGAAACCAAAGCUUGAGGAGAUAUGUAAAAACAAAAACUGCAGAUGCAAUAAAACUUUCCUCAUUUAUUUUAAACAGAUAAACCUGUUGGUCACUUAAAUAAAAUGAGUAAAAUAUUA